GAAGAAGUCAACUUUGUCUUGAGAUAGACAGUUAUCUUCAAAGCUCUAGACGGGAACGGCUCCCUCAUAGGAGCCCAGUGAGCCAGAACAAAUCGACCAUGGUAGAUUAUUCAGUACGAUUUCAGAGUCAGUCUCUUCACACAGCACCGUCUUCAGCUGCCCGGAUGUCCACAAGACAGCCAAUCAAGCUGCACCCGUUGGAGCUGCAACCAGUCAAACAAACAGCAACAGACUCCGCGCCGACAGUUCACAUCCGGAUAACAUGAACACCUUUGAUUCUCAAGAGCUGCGAUGACAACACUUCACUCGCCUCACAUAUCAGCUGACGGCACAUCUAACCUUCUGACUGAUUUCCAAAUUAUUUCUGUUAACUAGCCGGAAGGAAAUGGAGAGAAACCGAUUGCUGCUGCUGCUGCUGCAAGAGAAGGCGUGGGCGCGGUUGGUGAAAUAUCAUGCAGAUGAUGAGCAGCUGGUGAGAAUUCCGCAAGAAGAGUUUGAUCUAGAAGUGAGGCACAUGCAAGAACAGAAUGUUGUUACGCAGAUUGAAGAACUUAUGCCGCAACAUGGAGUCAGGGUAGUUACAGACGAUCAGUCCCAGUAAUGAAUAAUUUGCAGUCUACACGUUUGCCAGAUUGUGCUAAGGAGAAGGAUUGUGUACACCUAGAAUCAGAGCAUCAUCGCAUGAGAGAACAACUAUACAGGGACUUGCUCGACAUGGACACUCCAGAGCAAGGAAGAAAGAUACAAAUGACAACAGACACGUCAACACAGUCAUGUAGAUGAAAUACCUGCGGAAGACAUUGUACAUCAAGUGAAUUGCCAUAGAAACAGUAGAAUCAGCAGGCAUUGUAUGUAACCACAAAUCUAAGAAUUUGUUAUUCAUCAAUCUCUCACUAUAUAUGGGCAGUUGUUACCUCAAACUAUUCUGGCCGUUAGGGUAGCAACUUUGUAUGUCGUUUGAUAGAUAAAGCUACUUUGUUAUGAAAGGUCAAAUGUUUAUGGAAUUUUUUUGGAUCAAGUGACUGAUGACAAGAAUUUGUAUUAGUACUUUACAGUGUCUAC
Corticium candelabrum is the source of this 1062-nucleotide long non-coding RNA. RefSeq lists it as uncharacterized. NCBI's taxonomy places the organism in Eukaryota, Metazoa, Porifera, Homoscleromorpha, Homosclerophorida, Plakinidae. The record is from RefSeq and is a predicted model, not a curated record. The transcript has 6 exons.